UUAAUUCACUCAAUUAACAUAACUACAGAAACGCAAAAUAGGGCGAAGAAUGCACAUUGUAUUUCAUAUUUUUUAAGGGAAUAUUAUAUUCAGAUAUAUUACAAUGCACCCGAAAAUAUGAAUGAAAAGAAUGAAUACACGUUUCUCACAUAUACAAAGAUGCGCAAAUCGUGAGGGAAAGUGUAAAUUUCCAGCUGUUUCUCUGUUUUGGUUUGUUGACCAUGCUUUCAUACUCAUAACGCCUGCGCAAUUUCGACAAAAACACCGGAAUCCUCAGACGUGAUGCUAAAUAUUUUUUAUUUUCCCAUUGAUAUUGAUGUGAAAAGUUCAAAAAACAAUUAAGCAUAUGAAUAUCGAAGAGACAUAAAACAUUCAGAUAGGAGUGUUCGAUUAUAUACUUACAUCUACGGAAAAACUUAUAAAGAAAAAUGAAGAACAUGCCGCCAUCGACGGGCGAAACACUCAGAGCUUGGCUUCUUUCGGCACUCGUAGUGCAUGGGGCAGUGGCUGGAAAUCCUGAUGCUAAACGACUAUACGACGAUCUCCUGAGCAACUACAACAAACUAGUUCGGCCUGUAGUGAAUACAUCAGAUGUGCUACGAGUGUGUAUAAAAUUAAAAUUGUCACAGCUGAUUGACGUGAAUUUGAAAAACCAGAUUAUGACAACUAAUCUUUGGGUAGAACAGUCCUGGUAUGACUAUAAACUACGCUGGGAGCCUAAGGAAUAUGGAGGCGUGCAAAUGCUACACGUACCAUCAGAUCAUAUAUGGCGUCCAGACAUUGUGCUAUACAACAAUGCCGACGGUAAUUUCGAAGUGACGUUAGCGACAAAAGCCACAAUAUAUUCCGAAGGUUUAGUUGAAUGGAAACCCCCUGCCAUAUACAAAUCAUCAUGUGAAAUUGAUGUAGAGUAUUUUCCUUUUGAUGAACAAACAUGCGUAUUAAAAUUUGGAAGUUGGACAUAUGAUGGUUUUAAGGUUGAUUUAAGACAUAUGGAUGAACAGUCUGGAAGCAAUAUAGUGGAUGUAGGCGUGGAUUUAUCCGAGUUUUACAUGUCUGUAGAAUGGGAUAUACUCGAAGUUCCAGCCGUGAGGAAUGAGAAAUUUUACACCUGUUGCGAUGAACCAUAUCUCGAUAUAACUUUCAAUAUCACUAUGCGACGGAAAACUCUUUUCUACACAGUAAACAUUAUUAUACCAUGUAUGGGUAUAUCAUUUUUGACCGUAUUAACUUUCUAUCUUCCAUCGGACAGUGGAGAAAAGGUCACAUUAUCUAUUUCCAUUUUGAUUAGUCUCCAUGUGUUCUUCCUUUUGGUUGUUGAGAUCAUUCCGCCAACAUCAUUAGUCGUGCCUUUACUAGGAAAAUACUUGAUAUUCGCUAUGAUUCUGGUUUCAAUAAGCAUAUGUGUUACUGUUGUUGUUCUCAAUGUCCAUUUCCGUUCUCCACAAACACAUCGAAUGGCACCAUGGGUCAAAUCGUUUUUCAUAGAUUUUCUACCACGAUUCUUGUUUAUGAAGAGGCCAGCGUACAUCGAAAACCAUAGAAAAUUGUUAUCAAAAGACCCACACGCUUGCUUUUAUCCUUAUUAUUCGACCACCACAUUAAAUCGUGUAGCUCGUUUUCAUAAUAGGACAUCAUCAAAAGAUGAUAUUUCUCCGUUGAGUCUAUCAGGAACGGGACCAUUUGGCGGAAGCUGUCAAAUUCACGGACCACUUCAAGUUCCACACUCAGAGUCGGAGGAUUUAUCCUUAUCUACAGCAGCUGACACAGCAGUACCAUCUGGAAUCAAGAGUCCAGUUUUUAAACAGCCCCCAUACUCACAUGUCAAUUGCCCUGUAGAGAUUCAUCGAAGCUGCUUCUGUGUGCGAUUCAUUGCGGAACAUACGAAAAUGCUGGAAGAUUCAACAAAAGUCAAGGAAGACUGGAAAUAUGUUGCAAUGGUAUUGGACCGUCUAUUUUUGUGGAUCUUUACCUUGGCUGUUUUAGCGGGUACUGCUGGAAUUAUUCUACAAGCUCCGACAUUAUAUGAUGAUCGAAUUCCUAUUGAUAAGACAUUCGAUGAAUUGGCCACUUCGACAGUUGUUCGUUGUCCACCACAAUAGCAAACGAGGAUUAGCUCAGAAACAAUGUUGAUUCUUUUCGUGUGUAUCAUUGGAACGAGUGCCUGUGUUUUUAUGUAUGAAAAGGUGUUCAACGGUUAUGGUUCAACCAGUCGUGUAUACGGUUGUAAUUGUGGGUGUCGCAAACAUCUCUGCUUCCUGCAAUUACAACAUGCGACCCUACAUAACUAUUAUACAUUUCAUACAUAGACGAAUAUGGCUUACGUGGAACAAAUAUGAGAACUGCAGUGUGAAAUGAAACAGACAGUAUUGUAACAUCGAAAUGUAUGUUGUAGCACUUGUCCAGAAUCUAACGACUAAUUUUAAUUUAAGGUGUAGUAGAAAAUAGCUCUUUUAUCUAAUAACAUUGAUAGUUAACAUUUAAUAUAAGAUAUACAGGAAAUUGUAGAAAGUCGAUUGAGGCCAACCAUAAUUCAUCAUAAAGAUAAUAAUAAAUUAAUGUAACAUUCAGAGACGAAUUAAGCUUUAGCUAUACAAUACAACUCUCAUGAGAUCAGAACGUAACACUACUAAAAAAAACAUAUUUUCUGAUGAUCAAGAGCUUGAAUGAAAUGUAUGUAAAGAUGUGUUUUCUUUUAAUUUAGUGAACGAUUUAUAUUUCUUAAAAAUAUUUUUAUAUUGAAGUACACACAUGAAAACCUAAAUUCAAAUUGAAACUGCCACUUGAUUGUGAUAAGAUAUCGUAGGAUCUAUGGCACAGUAUUAUCAGUAUUUCGUGAACUUGUAUCGAGUUCAAUGGAAAUCGGCAUAAGUUCAAAUGAUCCAAAUGAUUCUGUUAUAGUGAUAAAUAUUAUCUGAUUCCAAUUUCAUGAGAGUUAACGUGUUAACAAAUCUCCGUGAAUAGAUAUUAUAUAUUUAGAGUUUACAAUAAAUUAAAGAUGGAAAUUAGCACCGCGUAAGUAAAACCUACACUUUAAUCAAACAAAAAUGCCCACAAUUAAAAUCCAGACCAUAAAUUAUGAAAAUAUAAACAUGGAAAUCGGUGUUGAUUGUUGAUAAUAAAA
RNA transcript from Toxorhynchites rutilus septentrionalis, 3124 nucleotides. It is a transcript of the gene named acetylcholine receptor subunit alpha-like, with no coding region annotated. The transcript is spliced from 14 exons. The record is from RefSeq and is a predicted model, not a curated record. Lineage: Eukaryota; Metazoa; Arthropoda; Insecta; Diptera; Culicidae.